This 352-nucleotide unclassified non-coding RNA is filed under the name soil metagenome. Its description in RNAcentral is "partial contains 5.8S ribosomal RNA, internal transcribed spacer 2, and large subunit ribosomal RNA". The stretch from base 1 to 120 matches the Rfam family "5.8S ribosomal RNA", at positions 35 to 154 of the family's 154-position model. The record is from RNAcentral.
GAUGAAGAACGUAGCGAAAUGCGAUAAGUAAUGUGAAUUGCAGAAUUCAGUGAAUUAUCGAAUCUUUGAACGCACAUUGCGCCCGCCAGUAUUCUGGCGGGCAUGCCUGUUCGAGCGUCAUUACAACCCUCAGGCCCCCGGGCCUGGCGUUGGGGAUCGGCGGAGCCCCCCGUGGGCACACGCCGUCCCCCAAAUGCAGUGGCGGUCCCGCCGCAGCUUCCAUCGCGUAGUAGCUAACACCUCGCGACUGGAGAGCGGCGCGGCCACGCCGUAAAACACCCAACUCUUCUGAAGUUGACCUCGAAUCAGGUAGGAAUACCCGCUGAACUUAAGCAUAUCAAUAAGCGGAGGA